Molecule: non-coding RNA, 645 nt
Organism: Otolemur garnettii (small-eared galago)
Lineage: Eukaryota; Metazoa; Chordata; Mammalia; Primates; Galagidae
Source: the annotation of a RefSeq genome assembly
UGCAGCCCUUUCUGUGCUCCAGGAUGGGGUCUGCCGUCCUUCUCACCCUCCUCCUGGCUGUUCUCCCAGGCGUCGGUGCCCAGGUGCAGCUGGUGCAGUCAGGGGCAGAGGUGAGACGGCCCGGGGAGUCUCUGACGAUCUCCUGCAAGGCAUCUGGAUACACCUUCACAAGCUACUGGAUCAGCUGGGUGCGCCAGAGGCCCGGGAAGGGCCUGGAGUGGGUUGGGAACAUCUAUCCUGGUGAUUCUGAUACCGAGUACAGCCCAGCCUUCCAAGGCCGCGUCACCAUCUCCGCCGACAACUCCAUCAGCACCGCUUCCCUGAGGUGGAGCAGCCUAAAGGCGGACGACAGGGCCAUGUAUUAUUGCACGAGGGACACAGCUAGGGGACCUCAGUGGGAGCCCAGACACGAACCUCCAGCGGAGCGCGGCCGCCAGAGGGCGCCCGAGACACAGGCGUGGAGUCACCCAGGGCAGGUGCUUGGGCGGGGCUCAGCUCUGGUGUCUGUUCAGGACUGGGGCUUCCUCUCCGUUAAUCAGUGUCCUCUGGGGAUUCUCUGGAUUCUGUGCUUAUUUGUGAAGUCUCUGAAUUGGGAACUUUGUGAAUUAGUAUAACACUGUAAUUUCACAAAAGGCAGAUAUUCAU